GACGAACGCUGGCGGCGUGCCUAAUACAUGCAAGUAGAACGCUGAAGGAGGAGCUUGCUUCUCCGGAUGAGUUGCGAACGGGUGAGUAACGCGUAGGUAACCUGCCUGGUAGCGGGGGAUAACUAUUGGAAACGAUAGCUAAUACCGCAUAACAGUAGAUAUUGCAUGAUAUCUGCUUGAAAGGUGCACUUGCAUCACUACCAGAUGGACCUGCGUUGUAUUAGCUAGUUGGUGAGGUAACGGCUCACCAAGGCGACGAUACAUAGCCGACCUGAGAGGGUGAUCGGCCACACUGGGACUGGGACACGGCCCAGACUCCUACGGGAGGGAGCAGGAGGGAAUCUUUGGCAAUGGACGGAAGUCUGAACGAGCAACGCCGCGUGAGUGAAGAAGGUUGUCGGAUCGUAAAGCUCUGUUGUAAGAGAAGAACGAGUGUGAGAGUGGAAAGUUCACACUGUGACGGUAUCUGACCAGAAAGGGACGGCUAACUACGUG
RNAcentral lists this ribosomal RNA (495 nucleotides) under uncultured bacterium. Its description in RNAcentral is "partial 16S ribosomal RNA". It matches the Rfam family "Bacterial small subunit ribosomal RNA", at positions 28 to 507 of the family's 1533-position model. The record is from RNAcentral.